AAGGAACUGGUUCUUCAAUAGUUAGUUGUCAUAAACACUACCAGUCCUUUUUCAGUUGGUUCAGCUUACAAGACAUCACAAAGAUCAGUCUCUCAGAGUAGUGGCUGGCCCUGGAAGAUGAUCUGGAAAGUCAAGGUACCCUUCAAGGUUGCAUGUUUCACUUGGCUACUAGCCAAACAGGCCACACUCACCCAGGACAACCUUAUGAAAAGAGGUUGUCAGUUUUGCUCUAGGUGCUCUUUUUGUGAAUGUGAGAUUGAGACAAUAAAUCAUCUCUUUCUACAUUGUAGAGAGACUGUGAAGUUAUGGUAGAUUUUCAUCAAUUUAAGAGGCAUAAGCUGGACUAUGCCAAGGAGCAUCAAAGAGGCUCUAGCUUGCUAGAAUCAUUGUUCAGGAAAGCGAGCGCUUCAUCGCUUUAAGCGGUGAAGCGAAGCGAGGGUUCAGCGCUUCAGUUGGCUGAAGCGAGGCAUGUGAAAAGAAGCGACCGCUUCUGGGCUUGAAGCGCGAUGCGACCAGAAGCGGUGAAGCGAGAAAAGCAAUGCUUUUAUUUUGUCUAGUCCAUGUUAAGGAACUGGUUCUUCAAUAGUUAGUUGUCAUAAACACUACCAGUCCUUUUUCAGUUGGUUCAGCUUACAAGACAUCACAAAGAUCAGUCUCUCAGAGUAGUGGCUGGCCCUGGAAGAUGAUCUGGAAAGUCAAGGUACCCUUCAAGGUUGCAUGUUUCACUUGGCUACUAGCCAAACAGGCCACACUCACCCAGGACAACCUUAUGAAAAGAGGUUGUCAGUUUUGCUCUAGGUGCUCUUUUUGUGAAUGUGAGAUUGAGACAAUAAAUCAUCUCUUUCUACAUUGUAGAGAGACUGUGAAGUUAUGGUAGAUUUUCAUCAAUUUAAGAGGCAUAAGCUGGACUAUGCCAAGGAGCAUCAAAGAGGCUCUAGCUUGCUGGAAUAGAGAUGGGAAUCAGUCGGGACACAGGGAGAGAUGGAAGAUUGUCCCAGCCUGCAUUUGGUGGACUAUAUGGAUGGAAAGGAACCAGAGAUGUUUCGAAAACAAGAGUUGCUCUCUGCAGAAACUGAAGAUGAACUG
RNAcentral lists this long non-coding RNA (1086 nucleotides) under Solanum tuberosum (potato). Its description in RNAcentral is "long non-coding RNA (STUB_LNC001784)". Lineage: Eukaryota; Viridiplantae; Streptophyta; Magnoliopsida; Solanales; Solanaceae. The record is from RNAcentral.